Armigeres subalbatus is the source of this 804-nucleotide long non-coding RNA. RefSeq lists it as uncharacterized. The transcript has 2 exons. The record is from RefSeq and is a predicted model, not a curated record. NCBI's taxonomy places the organism in Eukaryota, Metazoa, Arthropoda, Insecta, Diptera, Culicidae.
AACAAAAACAAAAAUACGUCACCGUCGGUGUUCUUCCGAGCAACGUCGAUUUCCGUGGUUUAAAGAAUCCUCAAUUUAACAAAAAGUUCGACGCGUGUGAACAUAAUACCAUGGAGGAAAUACAAUUUUGGAACAUAGUCCGGCCAGAAAUUGCUACCGAGUAUUUGGGACUAACUCUCGAAGUACAGGAGGCACAGCGCGCCGAAUGGAGCCCAGGUAGAAGAGGAAAUCACCUCCCGGACUGUGUUGCAGUCCAAGAUUCGGCAUUCAAGUGCACUUUCUCAUGAGAAACGUUAGUUGGAAGGAAGGGAGGAAGGAAAUAACUGACUACGUUGGCCAGAACAACGGGAAUGUCGAGGAAAGCAACGUUCAUCAGUGUCUAGACCAAUAUUUUAAAACAGAAACAGCCAUCACGACAACGGCUGGCAAGGCCAUAUCCGUCCUCGGUGAACCACUGACUCAAAAGAAAUCCGAGAUGAAACAAUCGUUCGUUCCGUUCGUUCGAAGAGCGGGUUGGAUCGGCCAACGCAAAUAUUUGGUCGAAAGUAUCCUCGCGAUCGACUUCAGUGCAGAGUUGCAGUCCAUUAGAUAGAGUAGGAAAGAAGCCAAUUUAUUUGUCUCAUUUUGAAGUAGGUAUGAUAUAAAAAUACUGAAUGUGUCUAAUUGUAGUUUCUCCAUAGUGGAACUCGUGAAUAGCUUUGAUUUAUGGUGAACUUAAACCUCUUCCUCGCACACAUAUGCACACUGUAGAAUGUAUCUAAUUAUAAUAUAGGCACACUUCUGCCAAAUGCAACCGCGAUUAAA